RNAcentral lists this long non-coding RNA (885 nucleotides) under Anas platyrhynchos platyrhynchos (common mallard). RNAcentral describes it as "lncRNA (ENSAPLG00000020456.1)". The record is from RNAcentral. Lineage: Eukaryota; Metazoa; Chordata; Aves; Anseriformes; Anatidae.
CUUUAUCCAGGCAGUGCAAUACGUUGCUUGCCAGACUAGAAAAUGAUAUAUUAGCCAUCUGGGCAAUGGGCCCAACCCUGGGCAAGAUUAGUGCUUCAAUUAGCUGUUGAUAGCUUUCCAUUAGAAUAUUGGUUUCAAAGAGCACUAAACAAGAAUGUUGUGCUUUGAUUUUCAGAUUUAAUUACUUCCAUCAGGGCUAUAAAUGAACUCAUUAGUCUUAGUGGCUCUAAAACCUAGAGACAAUAGAAUGUUAUUGCCAUUGUUCUUAUGGUUUGUGCAAACAUUACUUUCAGAAUGCUAUUAGGGAUGGCUAUCAACCUUUCCACUCUUCCUAAUGUAGCUGGCUGGCUGACCCUGCACAGCAGCUCUGGGCCGUGCUCCUGCAGUCAGACCUCGAGGCUCCCACCUCCCGCCGCAGGCAUGCCCUGGGGGAGUUGUGCAAGGAGAGCAGAGAGGCCAGCUCUGGAGGAACUUUGCUUUCUCUUCAACCCAGACCUGAUGAUUUCUUGCAGCUGGUUGGUGCUCACAGAGUGUUUCACAUCUAGCACACAGCAAGCAGGGGGGAGAUGCUGUGCUGCAAAUGUGAUCCUACCAAGUGUGGGAGAGGACUGUGAAAACCAAGACAACACAGGUAGCUAAGUACUGGGCUACCUUAAGUUAACCUGUAGCGAUAGGAUAGCCCUCCCUCCCGUCCCUCUGCACAGCCUGACUGCUAAUGUAGGCCUUGGAAGAUGACACAAGUUUAACUGAGUGAAUGAAUUAGCUGAGCACCUGUGUAAAACCCACCAAAAACCUCACUUGAAGCAUAACCAGCCUUAAGUUUGGGCAGUGUUAGCUUAAAAAUUCUGAAAUAAAUGAGAAAGAACCCAAAGUCUAGUGGGUUGU